GACAUUAAUCUACUUGAUUCCUAUAAUAACAGCAUCAUCAGCUUUCAAACUACAAUAAUAGGAGUAACAUAUGACACUGCUAUUUUUAAUUUUAAAAUUUAAAAAAUAAAAUCCCCAAAAGUGCUAUCACUAUGCUAGCUAAUUAAAAGCAACAUGUCUGCAGCAGUCAAGGAGGCAUCACCUCAACACUACAAAUACAAAAAGUUGUACGGAAGGUAGACAUUAUAGCAGUACUUACUCCAUAAGUAACAGAGCAACAAAUUUCUCAAAGAAGGUAGACAUUAUAGCAGUGCUUACUCCAUAAGAUUUGUGUGUGUAGGAGGGGAGACAUGGAAAAGGAGCUGAAAGUUUCUGCUAGUUACAGAGAGAGUACCACCCGCCACCAAAAGUGACUG
This 395-nucleotide long non-coding RNA is filed under the name Medicago truncatula (barrel medic). RNAcentral describes it as "lncRNA gene49027". The record is from RNAcentral. Lineage: Eukaryota; Viridiplantae; Streptophyta; Magnoliopsida; Fabales; Fabaceae.